Molecule: ribosomal RNA, 253 nt
Filed under: uncultured bacterium
Lineage: Bacteria
Description: partial 16S ribosomal RNA
Rfam family: Bacterial small subunit ribosomal RNA
Source: RNAcentral
GACGGAGGGUGCUAGCGUUGUUCGGAAUUACUGGGCGUAAAGAGCGCGCAGGCGGUCAGAUAAGUCGAAUGUGAAAGCCCCCGGCUCAACUGGGGAGGGUCAUUCGAUACUGUUCGACUCGAAGGCAGGAGAGGGAAGCGGAAUUCCCGGUGUAGUGGUGAAAUGCGUAGAUAUCUGGAGGAACACCGGUGGCGAAGGCGGCAUCCUGGAACGACACUGACGCUGAGGAGCGAAAGCCAGGGGAGCAAACGGG